UGAUGAUGAUGGUAGAGGAGC
RNAcentral lists this non-coding RNA (21 nucleotides) under Caenorhabditis elegans. Lineage: Eukaryota; Metazoa; Nematoda; Chromadorea; Rhabditida; Rhabditidae. The record is from RNAcentral.